AUUGGAUUUGCGUGGGUGCGUGCGGCAUAGGAUUGUUGUACUGUAUCAGUAUGUUGAAGCUGGAGCAGAAAGCGAGAGUAGCAUGAAAAUGAAAAUGUUCCUUUUGUUUUAUUUUAACUCUCCAGAACCUUCACAAAGGGACUCGCUUCCGGAUGUUACCAUGGCAACCUGGCAGGGGCUGCCAAAGGGAGUGAAGCGGAAGGAGAGGCUGGAGCACUGUGAGGGAGGGAGAAGCCAAGCAGCUGCUCAAGCAUGGAGAGGGGUAAGGGCAGUGUGGUGUGUGUCUGUGACUGACAAGGGGAGCAGGGAUGGAAGAGAGAGAGAGAUAGUAAUCAAGUCGACUCGCGCUGGUCGACUAACAUACAGUAGCAGUGCGUGUGUAAAACAGUGGGGAAGCCAAGACAGAAUCAAAUCCAUAUUAACAACCUUUGUAUUUGCGCUAUAACCUGUUAGUUCAUACUGUUUGCUGGGGGUCUCGAGUGGUGCAGUGGUCUAAGGCACAGCAUCUCAGUUCUUGAGGCAUCACUACUCCACUACUACACUCGGGUUCGAAUCCAGGCUGUAACACAACUGGCCGUGAUUUGCACAACUGGCCCAGCGUCGUCCGGGUUUGGCCUGUGUAGGCCGUCAUUGUAAAUAAGAAUUUGUUCUUAACUGACUUGCCUAGUUAAAUAAAAGUAUGCCUUGCCACCGUGAUAUAUUUUGGGCUCUCGAGCGGGGCAGCGGUCUAAGGCGCUGCAUCUCAGUGCAAGAGGUGUUGCGUCACUACCUGCAGUACCUGGUUAGAAUCCAGGCUAUAUCACAUCCGGCCGUGAUUGGGAGUCCUAUAGGGAGGCGCACAAUUGGCCCAGCGUCGUCCGGCUUUGGCCGGGGUAGGCCAUCAUUGUAAAUAAGAAUUUCUUCUUAACUGACUUGCCUAGUAAAAUAAAGGUUGUUUCAUCACAAAACUGGAGACCAACGUCUGUCCGGUGAAGUCCAUAAAGCAUAUUGCAUUUAACAAACAGUUACAUGACCUACAGCAGGAUCAAGCAAGUUAAUGUUUCCAACAUUUUCGGACUACUAAACAACUAAUGAUUUAGAACCACGGAGAGUUAACGCAAGUUGGAGGCGUUGCCUCCACUAUUCCAUCACCAUUUCAACUUAACAUUUCAACAUCAUCAAAUCAUCUAUGCUUAGUCUAAUACAGUGACAACUAAAAUAUACCAAAAACAAUUUAGUCCAAUCAAAGUAAGCUAAUAUGAUGUGGCUGUCCAUGGUACUGAUUUGUGUGUGUGUGUGUGCGCGCAAGUAGAAAAACAUGUUGACUCACUAACCCUACUUGUAGAGAAACGCCAAUGCCAUUCUCCUCUCUUUCAUGUUGACGAAACAGUCUAUGACUUUGUCAUACAGUACACGAUUUUAGUUUUUGUUGUCCUAGGCUACCUGGCUAAAAUGCUUGCUUGCUCGCCUAACUUCCUUUUAUGACGCAAUGAUACGCCAGGACAGCUAAUUAACAUUAGCCUACUACAACUAACUACAUAUUGAACUUCCAUCCUGCCAGGGACACAAUGUAUGAAUUAAUUGUUGGAUCUGAAUUAUUGUCAUAAUCAUUGGCCAGUACAGAGAUUUAAUAAAAAUUCAUUGAAAGUCCACAUUCCCAUCUCCAUCCAUGGCUAAUUUAGGAAAGGGACAAUUUUAGCUAGCUAGCCACCGGAGGACAAUGACACAACGAGAUGAAACAUUUAACGUUUUUUCUGUAAAUUCAGUUUUGCUUUUGAUGUGAUUGUUGUGAAGGGAAAUUGUUGUUGUUUUGCUCCAGGACCAUUCACAGCUUACUCAGUUUAGCUCAACGCUGAUUGGCUAUAAUUUUUUUAUGAAGGGAGACCAAAUCGUCUCUGGCUCCCGAUGCAUUCAAUGCUACCGGCGGCAACAAUGUCAUACUCUUUUUGAGCAGACAACAUCAGAUAGAUGGGCUAUACAUACUGAGACAGAGGGGCGCUGUUUCACACGCUGGGAUGCUUCGUCUAGUGAGAUACAUUUAGCCUCUUAUGAAUAAUUAAAAAAAAAUGAAACACAGAGGCGAAAGAUGCAAUAUGUUAUUUUCUUAUUUGCUUGGUAAAUUUUUGGGGAAGCCUGACUUCCCUUGGCAUCGAUGAAUACACAACACUGCUAACCUAUUGCUAGAUAUUUAUCAUCUCAUCUAAUUACACAUAGUACCUGUCUAGACAGCAUCAAACCGAGAGAAGCUAGUUAAGCUAUCUAGCUAGUGUUAGCUAGGCUAAUUGAGACUACAGAACUUUAACUGUGUGCUUUCUCCUCUUCCUACAGUAAAUAACAACAACUCCAUUCAGAUUAUUAUAAGUAGCAGCUUGCUUGUUGGCUCUUGGUGUUGUAACCUGUCCUUUUUAAAUUGAACUUUUAGUUUUGUAAUUUUAAUUCCAUUUUCCAUUGAUUAGCCUAGAUAUCUCCUAAUAACUUGCCACAGAGUCUCUAGCUCCUAUGACUGUAGCCUAGUGCGUUUUGAUGUCUUGUGAUUGGAUGACAACAAGAAGUUACACGCGCCACUCACGUGGAAAGCAAGAGCAGCGGCAGCAUAAAUGAUCAAAUGUUCAUUCUCUCUCUGCAGGAAGUGUGAUGUAGACCAUCUGUGUUGUGAAUUCAUGUGGAAUUUUAUACAUUUUUCUUAUCGUUUUAACAGAAAAACUAUAAAAUUGUCCGUUAAGAAAAAUUAUCCAUUUGUCACCUCCCUUCUUCUGAGUCAUCUGCCCCAGAGGAACGGUGUGUGUGUGUGUUCACAACCGCGGAGUGUUGAGAAUGCAGAGUGCUUAUGCCCUCCCCAUGGGGAACUGUAAUGAUUUCUGUGGGCGUUCGGAAUAAAACUGUCCAGACCAAAUAUAAAUAACAACCAUUAAAACACAUCCAGCUGAGGAGGGAUUUUAUUAGAGAUACCAACAAUAUACAGCAUUUAUGCAACUUAUUGGAUUCCUCUCUGGCUGAUAUAUGGUGACACACUAGCCUCGGUAUAACUACAGUCUAGUGUGUUUGGCAUCAAAACAAGCUUUAUGGGAGGAAAAUCAACUUUAGGUGUAACAAUGUUUUUCUCAUUUAUUUUUUAUUUCGUUUUACAACUUCCAUAAACUAGUUUUCCCCGGGCAGUAGGGCUGUGGUGGCAUGCCAGGGUUACAUGAGGAAUGGUCAUAGCAGUGGAGUAUGAAGGUUUGGAAUUUGAGAACAUUAGUUGCCAUUGCUUAGAUCUAUGGAUAUCACAUGCCUGAGCAGGGCUGCAGCCAUGAGUGGGCAUUGGAGGGCAUAGGCCCACCCACUUGGCAACCAAGCCCAUCCACUGGGGAGCCAGGCCCAGCCAAUCAGAAUUAGUUUUUCCCCACAAAAUUACUUUAUUACAGAUAGAAAUACUCCUCCCCCCAGACGAUCCCGAAGGUGAAGAAGCCGGAUGUGGAGGUCCUGGGCUGGCAUGGUGACACGUGGUCUGCAGUUGUGAGGCCGGUGGGACGUACUGACAAAUUCUAUAAAACGACAUUGGAGUCAGCUUACGGUAGAGAAAUUAACAUUUAAUUCUCUGGCAACAGCUCUGGUGGAUAUUCCUGCAGUCAGCAUUCCAAUUGCACGCUCCAACAAAACUUGAGACGUGUUGCACUGUGUUGUGUGACAAAACUGCACAUUUUAAACUGGCCUUUUAUUGUGCCCAGUACAAGGUGCACUUGUGUAAUGAUCAUGCUGUUUAAUCAGCUUUUUGAUAUGCCACACCUGUCAGGUGGAUGUAAACAAAUUUGUGCACAAAAUGUGAGAGAAAUACUCUUUUUAUGCGUGUAUAAUAUUUCUGGGAUUUUAUUUCAGCUCAUGAAACAUGGGACAAACACUUUACAUGUUGCAUAUAUAUUUUUGUUCAGUGUAUAUGUAUGCCUCCAGACAAGCAGUCAGUAUUUGUAGUUGUUGAAUUCUAUUUUAAUCGCAAAUCAAGUAAUAUGACAAAUAAGCGAGGGGUGUUCUGUUAAAGGCCCAGUGAUGUCAAAACAUGCUGUGUUUUAUAUAUAUUUCCACACUGAGGUUUUAAUAAUAUUGGAAAAUUGUGAAAAUUAUGAUAAUGCCCUUUUAGUGUAAAAGCUGUUUGAAAUUACUACUCUGACAGUCUUACCAAAAUUCUUGCUUAAAAAGCUAUUUUGUUUCUUCUUCACAAUUUUAAUUGAAAACAAUCACAGUAAGGUACUUAAUUGUUACCCAAAAAACGAUUUGAUAGAGAUCAAAACAUCUGCAUAUGGACCUUUAACCCUCUCAUCUUGACCUCGGACCUAUAGGCUUUAAAGUGGCUCAUAUGUGCCACACAUAUUGUCCCCAGCUGUGUCAAGGUGCAGCAAUAUUUAUCCAUAAACACUGUAAUACAGACACAUUUGGUGGCUUUGAUGCCAUAAAGGAAGAAAUUCUCAAAGCUAUGGCAUGUAACGACAAAUUCUGUGGCGAAACAGAUCCCAGAGGGAUCCCCCUUUUCACGCACGCACACACGCACACACACACACGCACACACAUAUACAGACAGACAGACAGACAAACAUACCCAAACACACACCUUUGUUUCCGACGCCCCUCUUUCAUGUCAGAUGACCUGUCCCAACUCUCAACGUUGUGUGAUGGACCUGUGUUCGACGUCAUCACAACAUUAAGGUUUACAUGGCAGAACCAGGGGAUUCAUUUAGAAGCUGUCACACAGGAAUUAGUUUGAAAGGGGGAAACAUGAUUCGCCAAAGCUUCCUCCAUCGAGCGUCAUGUGAAGGGGUUAGAGGGGGUGUCCCCGUGUUGUGUUAGAUGUUGUGUGCUGAGCUGCACGUGUGACAGCCUAAGACUUGAUCACACACAAAAGCAUGUUCCCACUCGCUGCUCUCUGACAGAAAGAUCCACCUUCAAAAGUCCAUAAUGGAGAUUUUUUGUUGUUGAUCUUUUUGAAUAGAAGAAGAGGAUUGUUAAUUCCUCUUACAGUAUUGGUUAAGAUGACAGUAUGUCUGAAAAGGCUUUGAGCGCAUGCAUAAUCCACAGAGGUGCGGAACACCAGAGGAUAUACCCUGGGUUCGCUUUGGUUUGACGUGAGUCACCGCAAAUGACUGACAUAUACUGUACCUGUGAACAUAUUUUUAACCUGAUGAUUAUAUCUGGUACUAUCCCUAAGGUUUGGUAGGCGGCCCAUGUACUCCCCCCUUCACCAAGGUGGUGACCCUUGUGACCUAAAUAAUUAUCGGCCUAUUUUUAAACUUUCUUGCCUAGCUAUUGUAGAAUCCUUUAUUUAUUCUCAGCUAAGAUCUUUCUUAUCUUUGAAAUGUAUUCUAAAUGUUGGGUUUUAGACCAGGUUAUAGCACUGUCUCUGCUGUGUCCCUAGUUAUAAAUGAUGUGCUUAACUGUAAGGAUAAAAGGCGUCAUUGUGCUGCUCUCUUCAUAGACCUGUCAAAUGCUUUCAAUACUGUUGACCACUCAUUGCAAAUUCAGAGGCUUUACUCAAUUGGCCUAGAACAGGCUGCAUGUAACUGGUUUUAAAAUUACAUGACAGAUGGAAUUCAAUGUUUAUCUACUGAUGGUGUUAAAUCAGGUUUCCUGGAUAUUACGAAAGGUGUCCCGCAGGGGUCGAUUCUCUGUCCUUUUCUUUAAGUUUUACUGCUUACAUGUCUGGAAAGAAUUGUAACCUGGACUUGAAUGCCAAUGAUACUGUUGUGUAUGCUAUUUCCCCCAUGGUUGACCAGGCUCUGUCUGAACUACAGUCUGCCUUCAUUGUAUUACAGAAAAACUGUAUUAAACUGAAAUUAGUAUUGAAUGCAGGUAAAACUAUGUAUAUGUUCUCUAGAGUGCAUAAAAAUGUGAUUUAAGCACAUGUACUUUGGAUGGUGUCCAUAUUGAUUGUGUCCCUGCUUAUAAAAAUAUCUGGAUAGAUGAAAAGCUGAGAAUGCAAAUGGGCUUCUAUAAAAAAAAAAAAUAGGUCCUGCCUCUCGCUAAAUAGUAGAAAGUACAUUAUUCAGUCUAUGUUCUGAUCGGUCCUAGACUGAAUGCAGCUGCCACUUCAUUAAAGCCGUUUGAUGCAGUUUGUCAUAGUGCGCUGCGCUUUAUUACGGGCAACAAUUUUAGUACUCAUCACCUCAUUCUCUACCAGAAAGUUGGUUGGCCCUCUUUGAUGUCAAGCAAGUUACUACUUUUUUUUGCACCUUAUUUGUGGAAUCAGCUCCUGGAAUUAAAUGAGUUCUUUUGGUGCCUCUAGGCCAAUUCAGAAAGCUGAUUGAAGACCUUUUUACGGAUGAAUGUGUUUUUUUAUUUUUUAUGACUGUGUUUCUAUUUUGUAUUUAUGUAUUUUCUGUAAUGUAUGUAAUUCAGGGCUCCUCUGUAAAAGAGACCUUGGUCUCAGUAUGUCUCCCUGAUAAAAUAAAGGUUCAAUGAAUUAAUUAAUUUAAAAAAUGCCCCAGCCUCUUUAUCCUCCAUCCUCACACUUUUUCUCCUGCACACUCUGUUUUUCCUGUCCUUCUCUCUCUCUCCCUCCAUCAUCCUCCGUCCCCCUGUUCUCCACCUGUGAGGUGUCCAGGCUCUAAGACUUUCUAAUCCUCUGAAGCCUCA
This is a long non-coding RNA of Oncorhynchus tshawytscha (Chinook salmon), 6579 nucleotides long. The record is from Ensembl. NCBI's taxonomy places the organism in Eukaryota, Metazoa, Chordata, Actinopteri, Salmoniformes, Salmonidae.